UACGUAGGGUGCAAGCGUUAAUCGGAAUUACUGGGCGUAAAGCGUGCGCAGGCGGUUAUGCAAGACAGAUGUGAAAUCCCCGGGCUCAACCUGGGAACUGCAUUUGUGACUGCAUGGCUAGAGUACGGUAGAGGGGGAUGGAAUUCCGCGUGUAGCAGUGAAAUGCGUAGAUAUGCGGAGGAACCCCGAUGGCGAAGGCAAUCCCCUGGACCUGUACUGACGCUCAUGCACGAAAGCGUGGGGAGCAAACAGG
This 253-nucleotide ribosomal RNA is filed under the name uncultured bacterium. RNAcentral describes it as "partial 16S ribosomal RNA". It matches the Rfam family "Bacterial small subunit ribosomal RNA", at positions 524 to 776 of the family's 1533-position model. The record is from RNAcentral.